AAAAAAAUAGGGUCAGAUCCUCAGAACUAUGCCGAGUUUCUGCAAUGUCUUUUGGAAAUUCUGUGUGUUAUUCAGAUGUACUUCAUGGUGCUGUGGGUUGAGCGUAUAGACAGCAGUCACCUGGAGGUUCAUUGGCCUGGCUCAGUUCUGGCGUUUGCACAUUUGCUAAUUGUGAUGGGUAGUACAUUGGGACUAAUCUGUAAUAUUGAUAAUGACUAUAAUGAGAUAAAUGGUAUUGGAUUUUAAAGUAAUCCAUAGCGAUCUGUAUUUUGAUACUUAAACGAUUCUGCUUUUAUAAAUGUAUAUAUAUGUAUAUGGAUGUAUGUAAGUAAUGUUUCAUUUUUUUUCUUUGGCCACGUUUGUCGGAACAAGAGAGCCGGCAGUGUUUGAAAAGCUUCACAUAUCAAUGGUACCCAUCCCUGACCUGUCUUGUGGGUGAAAGGUGAGCGGGAUCGGACUGAGAGAUCUAACUCAGACAGACCUCAAUACAGGCACACAGAAACAGACUGUAAAUAAUCUCGGGCUUCCAGUCUUUUUUAAUUAUUAUUUUUCAUAAUUGUACAACUAAUAAAUGAUAAAAAUGGCAACCAAA
Long non-coding RNA from Anguilla anguilla (European eel), 592 nucleotides. RefSeq lists it as uncharacterized. The transcript has 2 exons. The record is from RefSeq and is a predicted model, not a curated record. Lineage: Eukaryota; Metazoa; Chordata; Actinopteri; Anguilliformes; Anguillidae.